GAUGAACGCUGGCGGCGUGCCUAAUACAUGCAAGUCGAGCGAACAGACGAGGAGCUUGCUCCUCUGACGUUAGCGGCGGACGGGUGAGUAACACGUGGAUAACCUACCUAUAAGACUGGGAUAACUUCGGGAAACCGGAGCUAAUACCGGAUAAUAUAUUGAACCGCAUGGUUCAAUAGUGAAAGUCGGUUUUUCUGUCACUUAUAGAUGGAUCCGCGCCGCAUUAGCUAGUUGGUAAGGUAACGGCUUACCAAGGCGACGAUGCGUAGCCGACCUGAGAGGGUGAUCGGCCACACUGGAACUGAGACACGGUCCAGACUCCUACGGGAGGCAGCAGUAGGGAAUCUUCCGCAAUGGGCGGAAGCCUGACGGAGCAACGCCGCGUGAGUGAUGAAGGUCUUCGGAUCGUAAAACUCUGUUAUUAGGGAAGAACAAAUGUGUAAGUAACUAUGCACGUCUUGACGGUACCUAAUCAGAAAGCCACGGCUAACUACGUG
This 497-nucleotide ribosomal RNA is filed under the name uncultured bacterium. Its description in RNAcentral is "partial 16S ribosomal RNA". It matches the Rfam family "Bacterial small subunit ribosomal RNA", at positions 28 to 507 of the family's 1533-position model. The record is from RNAcentral.